This 142-nucleotide ribosomal RNA is filed under the name uncultured bacterium. Its description in RNAcentral is "partial 16S ribosomal RNA". It matches the Rfam family "Bacterial small subunit ribosomal RNA", at positions 355 to 507 of the family's 1533-position model. The record is from RNAcentral.
UGGGGAAUAUUGCACAAUGGGCGGAAGCCUGAUGCAGCGACGCCGCGUGAGGGAUGACGGCCUUCGGGUUGUAAACCUCUUUCAGUAGGGAAGAAGCCGCAAGGUGACGGUACCUGCAGAAGAAGCGCCGGCUAACUACGUG